Molecule: long non-coding RNA, 3164 nt
Filed under: Canis lupus familiaris (dog)
Lineage: Eukaryota; Metazoa; Chordata; Mammalia; Carnivora; Canidae
Description: lncRNA (ENSCAFG00000058144.1)
Source: RNAcentral
UUUUUUUUUUUUUUUCUUUAAAUGGUUUUCAAAUGCAAGUGUUAAUAACUAUGACCCAUGUCAUGCAUUGUAUUAUGUCCUCCCACAGAGAUAUGUUGGAGUCCCAACAUUAGUACCUCAAAAUGUGACCUUACUUGGACAUAGGGUUUUGACAAUGGUGAUCAAGCUAAAACAAGGUCAUCAGGGUGAACUUUGAUCCAACAUGACCAGUGUCUGUAUAAAAAGGUUGAAAGUGUACAUAAAGACACACACAUGGGGAGAUGCCUUGUGAAAAUGAAGGCAGAGAUAGGGUGAUACACCUACAAGCGAAGUAACACCGAGAAUUGCCAGCCAAUCACUAUUUUUCCCUCAAGAUAAGCAGCUUAAUAAGAAUAUGCUGACUAGGGGAAUCCCUGAGUGGCUCAGCAGUUUCGCGCCUGCCUUUGGCCCAGGGCGCGAUCCUGGAGUCCCGGGAUCGAGUCCCGUGUCGGGCUCCCGGCAUGGAGCCUGCUUCUCCCUCUCCUCUGCCUGUGUCUCUGCCUCUCUCUCUCUCUAUGUCUAUCAUAAAUAAAUAAAAAUAAAUUAAAAAAAAAAGAAUAUGCUGACUAGGGAUGCCUGGGUGGCACAGUUGGUUAAGUGUCCAACUCUUGGUUUUGGCUCAGGUGGCGAUCUCAGGGUCAGGAGAUGGAGCUCGUGUAGGGCUCAGAGUGGAGCCUGCUUGGGAGACAUUCUCUUCCCUCUCUCUCUGUCCCUCCCCACUGUGUGCUCUCUCUCUCUCUCCCUCAAAUAAAUAAAUAAACCUUUAAAAAAAAAAGAAUAUGCUAAUAAGAAAUAGAGUUUUAGAAUUUGUAACAUUUCCAUACAGAGAGUUAUAGUAAAAAAAAUUUUAAAAAGGAAAAAUCUAUACAAAAUGUAUCAUCAGUCAAUCCUGUCUCAAAUCUAAGGAUAUUUCUUCUGGUUUAUACAAUAAAAAUACUUCAUUCUAAGAAUUAAAAGUCUAGAAAAUAAAGAGUUUCCCAGGUGAAUUAAAUCAUGCAUUCCAGUGUCCAAUGAGGGUAUGAUAUGGCCAUAAGUGUGUUCAAGUAGAUGCAGAUAUUCUCUAUAGAGGAGAAAAUGAAAGGAAGUCUGAGGUCAGGAGAGCAGGGCACAUUGAUGAGAAUAAGUAGGGAGCCAAGGAGUCUCCAGGCAUGAAAAAAAUGGAUGGUCUUUUACCCACUGAUAGGAUUUUGCACACACUUUCACUUAACAGCUGGGCUAGAAUUUUUAUGAGUUUUUAACACCCAUUUUAUUAUACAUCCUCCCUUCACAUCCAUUCUCACUAAAAUUUUCCAAGGUAUUUCUUAUAAACAUUUACUUUUGUUUUUACAUUUUGUUUCUUAAUUGAAAGCUAAUAGUAAGAUGUUAGUCUUCAGAAAUUUGCCUCACAAAAGAAAAAAAACAACUAUAAUAAGGUAUUAAAUCCACAACACCAGAGGUGUCUCUAACAAAACAAAACAAAAACAAAUAAAAAUGGCUAUCAUAAGAAUGAUAAAUCUGAAAUGGAUGAACUCUGGUCCUAUAGUCAUAUUUUGAAAAGGAAGAAAAAAUAAAGUAUUGGUCUCAAGGUCACUGUUUCACUGGAAUAAUUAAUGUUUACUGUUCCCUGCAUAAAAUACCUAAACUGAACAAUAGAGCUAUCCACAGGACUGUAGUCAGUAGAACACUCUAGCUAGCAAAAUACUCUCAUAUACCAUGUACUUUGGGUUGCACGCUUACCAAAAUUCACUUAUGUGUUCCCAGCCCUAUUUAUGCCAGUUGAGCCUAUUAAUGUAAUUACAUAAUUCAGUUAAACAAUAUUUCUAUAAAAUGUGAGUUGCAAUAGAGAGAGAAUUGUUGCUUUACCAAAACUAGUCAAAUGCUUUGGAGAGACCCAAUAAGGAAAAAAUGCUUUUUAAAAAAAUUGUCAUUGUGGGGCAGGGAUGAUAAAAAUCUAUACAGACCUCUCUACUUGGGUUGCUAGUCACUGUCUUUAUAUUCUUAAUUAACGUUAAAAAAAUUGAAACUGGAAUUUCUGAACAUUUCUGAAAUUGAAACUGGAAUUGAAACUGGAAUUUGUAGAGGCUCCUUUAGGGAUAUAGCUUAUGCAAAAACAACAUCCCUACAACUUAUUGCAAAGGCCUUGGCUCCACAGCAAAACAAUGGUGAAUAAAUGUGCAUUUAUGGAUUUUAAGCAAAAGUCAAAUGUGUUGUGUAUAUAUGUGAUUUACGAUUCCCCCAACUUAAGCAACUUACUUGAUCAAUCAGUCAACAACCAUUUUCAAUUGUACAGAAUAAGAAGUCUUCUAUGAUAAAAAAGAAAAUGGUAAACCAGGAAGGAUUUUUUCUUAACCUGCAUAUAAUGAACAGAGAUAGAAAGCAAUAGACUCAAAUAUUCAAACCAAGAAACAGAAUCCACUUCAAUACCCAAGUCUACUUGUAUCACUUAAAUGAGAAACAGCCUAGCUAUAACUAUAAGCAUUAAAUGUUGUAUAAAUCUGAGGCACGUAGACUCCAAUUAAUUACUGCAUGAUAUUACCAUUUCUUCUAUAACUAUGUAAUAAUACCAACUGCCUAUAAUCAGAAGGAUUUAGUAGACAUUUAUUGAUGGAAAUCAGAUGAUUUCAUCCACAGUGUCUGAAUUACUUUGAUAUGCUUGAGCCUGAAGCAAAAUAAUGUAAUAAAAAAACAACAUACAGAUGAGAACCUCAAUUUUUCUCUACAUAUGAAUCUGUCACUGAUUUGGGAAGAAUCAAAUCUAAGUCCAACCAGGUGAAGAUGUUCCAUACAUUAUUCUUCCCAAUUCAAUAAAAAAAAAUUUCCCUUUCCAGUAUGUUUAUAUACUGUUCCUGACUUUGUGGUAUCCUGGACAUUGAGGGAGCCCAGAGACACAGAGUAUUACCUUAGCAAAUGUUAAACAAAGCACAUAUGAUUUAUAGAACAUUUUCUUAAGAGUUUGCUUGAAAGACCACCUGAAGUCUUAAGCCCUCAAAAUAAUAACCAAUAGAUUAAUGAGUAGAGUGGGAAGGUAGAUCUUAUGAGUAAAAUGAAUGAGAAAUAGGUUAUAUGGCAGGCUGGAAAUUUCUUUCCCUCUUUCUCCCCCUCCUUCCACUCUCCCCCUCAAAAGUCCAGCAGUAGUCUAUUAUGGCGCUAAAAAAAAAAAAAAAAAA